Molecule: ribosomal RNA, 254 nt
Filed under: uncultured bacterium
Lineage: Bacteria
Description: partial 16S ribosomal RNA
Rfam family: Bacterial small subunit ribosomal RNA
Source: RNAcentral
UACGAAGGGGGCUAGCGUUGUUCGGAAUCACUGGGCGUAAAGCGCACGCAGGCGGAUCGUUAAGUCCGGGGUGAAAUCCCGAGGCUCAACCUCGGAACUGCCUUUGAUACUGGCGAUCUUUGAGUUCGGGAGAGGUGAGUGGAACUGCGAGUGUAGAGGUGAAAUUCGUAGAUAUUCGCAAGAACACCAGUGGCGAAGGCGGCUCACUGGCCCGAUACUGACGCUGAGGUGCGAAAGCGUGGGGAGCAAACAGG